This 857-nucleotide ribosomal RNA is filed under the name uncultured bacterium. Its description in RNAcentral is "bacterial SSU rRNA". It matches the Rfam family "Bacterial small subunit ribosomal RNA", at positions 28 to 896 of the family's 1533-position model. The record is from RNAcentral.
GAUGAACGCUGGCGGCGUGCUUAACACAUGCAAGUCGAACGAUGAAGCCCAGCUUGCUGGGUGGAUUAGUGGCGAACGGGUGAGUAACACGUGAGUAACCUGCCCUUAACUCUGGGAUAAGCCUGGGAAACUGGGUCUAAUACCGGAUAGGAGCGUCCACCGCAUGGUGGGUGUUGGAAAGAUUUAUCGGUUUUGGAUGGACUCGCGGCCUAUCAGCUUGUUGGUGAGGUAAUGGCUCACCAAGGCGACGACGGGUAGCCGGCCUGAGAGGGUGACCGGCCACACUGGGACUGAGACACGGCCCAGACUCCUACGGGAGGCAGCAGUGGGGAAUAUUGCACAAUGGGCGCAAGCCUGAUGCAGCGACGCCGCGUGAGGGAUGACGGCCUUCGGGUUGUAAACCUCUUUCAGUAGGGAAGAAGCGAAAGUGACGGUACCUGCAGAAGAAGCACCGGCUAACUACGUGCCAGCAGCCGCGGUAAUACGUAGGGUGCGAGCGUUAUCCGGAAUUAUUGGGCGUAAAGAGCUCGUAGGCGGUUUGUCGCGUCUGUCGUGAAAGUCCGGGGCUUAACCCCGGAUCUGCGGUGGGUACGGGCAGACUAGAGUGCAGUAGGGGAGACUGGAAUUCCUGGUGUAGCGGUGGAAUGCGCAGAUAUCAGGAGGAACACCGAUGGCGAAGGCAGGUCUCUGGGCUGUAACUGACGCUGAGGAGCGAAAGCAUGGGGAGCGAACAGGAUUAGAUACCCUGGUAGUCCAUGCCGUAAACGUUGGGCACUAGGUGUGGGGACCAUUCCACGGUUUCCGCGCCGCAGCUAACGCAUUAAGUGCCCCGCCUGGGGAGUACGGCCGCAAGGCUA